UGGAUCCCCUCCUAACAGGGAGACAACAAAAUGUUUAAUAUUAUUAUUUUGUCACCUUAGGUCGAUCGGUAUCUCACAUUCUUAAUUUAUUAAGAUUUUCAUUCCCUAAGUUUUUUGUAGGUCACACCCAUUACUUUUCCUGGGCCAUUAGCUCAGGUGGUUAGAGCGCACCCCUGAUAAGGGUGAGGUCCCUGGUUCAAGUCCAGGAUGGCCCAUAUCUCUAUGUUGGGGGUAUAGCUCAGUUGGUAGAGCGCCUGCUUUGCAAGCAGGAUGUCAGCGGUUCGAGUCCGCUUACCUCCACUGCUUACCACCUCUUCCAUAAGAUAAGGAAAUGUUUUGAGUAUUGAUUAAAUCCUGAACGAUUCUAGCUUCCUAAUAGAAAUAUUAAGAUGCUGGACUCAAUGAAUCUAUUUCAUUGUUUUCAGAGAACCUUGACAACUGCAUAGAUUAUUUUAAAGACAAUAAGCAUCUUUAAUGAUGCAGAUUUAUUAUUUGUGCGAAUGCAUUAAUAACAAUUCUAUUAAGCUGAUGCUUCAAUUUUUGAAGUUAUUGGUCAAGCUACAAAGGGCUCACGGAGGAUACCUAGGCACACAGAGGCGAUGAAGG
This 606-nucleotide transfer RNA is filed under the name uncultured Prochlorococcus sp. RNAcentral's name for it is "partial contains 16S ribosomal RNA, 16S-23S ribosomal RNA intergenic spacer, and 23S ribosomal RNA". The stretch from base 228 to 300 matches the Rfam family "tRNA". The record is from RNAcentral. Lineage: Bacteria; Bacillati; Cyanobacteriota; Cyanophyceae; Synechococcales; Prochlorococcaceae.